RNAcentral lists this long non-coding RNA (230 nucleotides) under Jatropha curcas. Its description in RNAcentral is "long non-coding RNA (JCUR_LNC000257)". Lineage: Eukaryota; Viridiplantae; Streptophyta; Magnoliopsida; Malpighiales; Euphorbiaceae. The record is from RNAcentral.
GGUGACAUACCAAUUUAAGGCCCAAACUCAAGUGUCUAAAAAGAAGCUCCUCCGAUUCAAACAUCAACAUAUGAAGACCCCUAGAAGAGGCUUAUCAACUUUCGCUUGAAUCCAAGCAAGCACAACCUGAAGCCAAGACACUCUUCCAAGGUGUGAGAGAUGCGCUUCACCUUCAUGCGCAAACCGCCUUGUAGAAAUAGGGGAUUAGAGGAUGCUAGACCAUAUCAAAG